GGGGGGGGGGGGGGGGGGGCGGGGGGCGGGGAGGUCGGGCGAGGAGGUGGGGGGCUUGCGCCUGGGCCGUUGGCGGCGGCCGGGGGAGUACCCCGUGGCUACCCUACCUCUAAGGCUGGGGUAACUUCUGGAACCCGGCGCUACUCCCGGAUACUAUAUUGACCCGCAUGGUUCCAUAUUGAAAGACGUUUUUGCUUUCACUUCUAGAUGGAUCCUCUCCGCAUUAGCUAGUUGGUAAGUUCACGGCUUACCAAGGCAACGAUGCGGAGCCGACCUGAGAGGGUGAUCGGCCACACUGGAACUGAGACACGGUCCAGACUCCUACGGGAGGCAGCAGUAGGGAAUCUUCCGCAAUGGGCGAAAGCUUGACGGAGCAACGCCGCGUGAGUGAUGAAGGUCUUCGGAUCGUAAAACUCUGUGAUUAGGGAAGAACAAAUGUGUAAGUAACUAUGCACGUCUUGACGGUACCUAAUCAGAAAGCCACGGCUAACUACGUG
This 497-nucleotide ribosomal RNA is filed under the name uncultured bacterium. Its description in RNAcentral is "partial 16S ribosomal RNA". It matches the Rfam family "Bacterial small subunit ribosomal RNA", at positions 38 to 507 of the family's 1533-position model. The record is from RNAcentral.